This 468-nucleotide ribosomal RNA is filed under the name uncultured bacterium. RNAcentral describes it as "partial 16S ribosomal RNA". It matches the Rfam family "Bacterial small subunit ribosomal RNA", at positions 28 to 507 of the family's 1533-position model. The record is from RNAcentral.
GACGAACGCUGGCGGCGUGCUUAACACAUGCAAGUCGAACGGAAAGGCCCUGCUUUUGUGGGGUGCUCGAGUGGCGAACGGGUGAGUAACACGUGAGUAACCUGCCCUUGACUUUGGGUUAACUUCAGGAAACUGGGGCUAAUACCGGAUAGGAGCUCCUGCUGCAUGGGGGGGGUUGGAAAGUUUCGGCGGUUGGGGAUGGACUCGCGGCUUAUCAGCUUGUUGGUGGGGUAGUGGCUUACCAAGGCUUUGACGGGUAGCCGGCCUGAGAGGGUGACCGGCCACAUUGGGACUGAGAUACGGCCCAGACUCCUACGGGAGGCAGCAGUGGGGAAUAUUGCACAAUGGGCGGAAGCCUGAUGCAGCAACGCCGCGUGCGGGAUGACGGCCUUCGGGUUGUAAACCGCUUUCGCCUGUGACGAAGCGUGAGUGACGGUAAUGGGUAAAGAAGCACCGGCUAACUACGUG